GAGGAGGUUGUGAGCCUUCCUGACCAUAUGGAAAGUGAUCAUCCCAGUGUUCAUGAAUUGUCCGAGGUGGAGGAACAGGGGGAAGAACUCUCAGUAGUAGUAGAUCAGACGGAGGAAAGUUCACAGCAACACCAAGACUUGGUGGAGGCUGAAGAGCUGGAGGACAGAGAUGUUCCUACACCUAGUAUCUCAGUUGGGGGUGCUGACUCAACCUAUGACCUCCAAACAAAAAGGAGAGUGAGACCUGUUUUGCACCUCAGUUAUGAUGAACUUGGAAGGCCCACUGACAGACCUGUGACUAUUAGUUACCGAGGUAUGGUAAUUCAGAUUUGCUACGACCCUGACUCCUAAAUGUUAAUGCCCUAGCCAGUACUCUUUAGUGAGAUUUUAACUGGCCUAAUGAAAAUAGGUCUGAUGGGGACAUUCAGACAUUCAGAAGGGGGAGGGUGUAGCCCUGGCUAUAUAAGUAGCUCAUUAUUUCAAUUUGUUCAUUAAUAUUGAUAGUUAAUUGCAAAUGUUUAAUGUGUUCAAGAAUGUAUACCUGCAAAGUAUGUGAUGUGUGUCAGUUAAAUGCACAACCUUUUUAUUUGUAUUUUGAGGUUUAUGUCAUUAUUUUUGAUAUGGUAUUGAUAUGUACUACAGCUCCAGUGAACCCUGAAGUAGUCUCAGGUAGAGGGGUGGGAGUAAGUGGGGAGCCGUGUGCACUCUGCAGGAAGCGAGAGAGACGAGAGCUGAACAGUGUCGAGUGAACGCAGAGUUCUUAAAGGGCGACAGACGCAUUUUCGGGUUGACGGAUAGUUAACUGGAGUCGAGAACUGUUGUACCCUUCUGUGAGUAGGAGGAGACGGACGUCUUGCUGGUGUGUCAGAGAGGUCCCUUCUGCUGGUGUGCUGAAGUUAUGUGUUCACGUGGGAGCACGUGGAAAGGACGACUGUGAGUGCUGCUG
Long non-coding RNA from Astatotilapia calliptera (eastern happy), 946 nucleotides. The record is from Ensembl. NCBI's taxonomy places the organism in Eukaryota, Metazoa, Chordata, Actinopteri, Cichliformes, Cichlidae.